UGAAGAUAUUAGCAACAAUAUCGUAAAUAUUUGUCAAAAUCGAAUACAUGUACAGAUGCAUCGAGUACUCAGUCUUAAACAAAACAAAUACUAAUGAGAUAAAAUACACUCUCUGCAAAACUGAAACUAAGAACUGGGGACCUACUCUUAAAUAAAGCUACAAGCUCAAUAUCAGCAACACUCUAAGAAGCUACUUGUCUUGGUACAAGUCGGGGCGAAUUCUUCAGACUAAAUUGUCUUCCACGGGGGAAUCUGAUAAGUGAGAUCUCGAGUAAGUGUUUACAUAAUCCAUCCUUUGUUACAAUGGGGUAGUCAUGUUUGAUGAGUCUACCUCGUUUCAGUAACUUGAUUUCCAGAUGAUUGUCAUGGUUUUUUGCAAGUGUUUACCUCCUCUUGUACCGUGACUUGCUCUUGAAUGAGGACUUCUUCUUUCCACCGGCAUGAAGUGGUUUUCUUUGUUUUCUCUCACUUGUAUCAUUUUGAAAAAUAUCCUGCAUUUCUUCUGUCCUUGAUUCAGAUGCUCUGCUUUUCGGUUUUGGUUUAUUUCCGGCCUUCCUAACAAUCUUGCCAGCAUCAACUGCCUUGUUCACAGCCUUGACUGCUUUUGCACGACGAUAAGCAAGAUCAACUAAGGAAAUUCCAGAUUUCUCUUUCUUUGAUUUGUCUUUGCCAUCAUCCAAGUCAUCUUCAUCUUCUAAUUGCUCUCGAGCAGCCUCCAACUUCCUUCUUUUCUUCCUCGGCAGAUUUUUCUCUCGUUCUCGCUUCCUCUUUUCCUUCAUCUUCAGGUCUUCUGCUUGUUCGGCACUCAUUACCUUACUCUGAGAACCAUUUUCUUUGGCUGCUGCAUUCUCCUUUGCUGCCUUUUGGACUAGCUUUUUCUCCUUUUCUGUGACAAACCAUGUCCUUUUAGGACGUGAAUAAAUCUCAUCCCUGUGGGCAAUCAUAUUCUCUGCCUUAUUUGCUUCCAUUUCAGCUUUUCUUAGUGCCAUCUCUUCCCUCUCUUCUUGCAUAACUGCAGACACUUGAUCCUCAAGUUGUUCAAUCACUUGUGCCCACUUAGUUAUAGACUGUUCUGCUACAAUUCGACUCUUUAGCCUUGAACCAGCUCGUUUAACAAUGGCUUUUAGAAGAGACCUAUCAUUAUCUGUGACAAAUGUAACGGCAUAACCUUCUCUACCAGCUCUAGCUGUCCGACCCACUCGAUGAACGUAACUAGUAAGAUCACG
Molecule: unclassified non-coding RNA, 1226 nt
Filed under: Hevea brasiliensis (rubber tree)
Lineage: Eukaryota; Viridiplantae; Streptophyta; Magnoliopsida; Malpighiales; Euphorbiaceae
Source: RNAcentral